CCUACGGGUGGCAGCAGUGGGGGAUAUUGCACAAUGGGGGGAACCCUGAUGCAGCGACGCCGCGUGGGUGAAGGAGUAUUUCGGUAUGUAAAGCCCUAUCGGCAGGGAAGAAAUUGGACGGUACCUGACUAAGAAGCCCCGGCUAACUACGUGCCAGCAGCCGCGGUAAUACGUAGGGGGCAAGCGUUAUCCGGAUUCACUGGGUGUAAAGGGAGCGUAGACGGCCAUGCAAGCCAGGGGGGAAAGCCCGGGGCCCAAACCCGGGACUGCCCUUGGAACUGCAUGGCUGGAGUGCGGGAGGGGCAGGCGGAAUUCCUGGUGUAGCGGUGAAAUGCGUAGAUAUCAGGAGGAACACCGGCGGCGAAGGCGGCCUGCCGGACCGCGACUGACGUUGAGGCUCGAAGGCGUGGGGAGCGAACAGGAUUAGAUACCCUGGUAGUC
This 441-nucleotide ribosomal RNA is filed under the name uncultured bacterium. RNAcentral describes it as "partial 16S ribosomal RNA". It matches the Rfam family "Bacterial small subunit ribosomal RNA", at positions 338 to 795 of the family's 1533-position model. The record is from RNAcentral.